RNAcentral lists this ribosomal RNA (253 nucleotides) under uncultured bacterium. RNAcentral describes it as "partial 16S ribosomal RNA". It matches the Rfam family "Bacterial small subunit ribosomal RNA", at positions 524 to 776 of the family's 1533-position model. The record is from RNAcentral.
UACAGAGGGUGCAAGCGUUGCUCGGAUUUACUGGGCGUAAAGCGUACGCAGACGGUGAGAAAGGUCGAAUGUGAAAGCCCCGGGCUCAACCCGGGAACUGCAUCCGAAACCAUCUCGCUAGAGUAUGGGAGGGGGAAGCGGAAUUCCUGGUGUAGAGGUGAAAUUCGUAGAUAUCAGGAGGAACACCUGCGGCGAAGGCGGCUUCCUGGCCCAUUACUGACGUUCAGGUGCGAAAGCGUGGGUAGCAAACGGG